GCAUGUGUGGUCAUGUAUUCUCUUGUACUUCUUGUAAGUUGUAGCUAACAAUUUUCUUUUCCUUUUUUUUUCUUUGCUUCUUCUUCUUGCCUCUGUCUUCAAUUUUAGAAAUCAUAGGACAAGUCUUUUUGUCUUCUUUGUCUCUGUGACACCCUGGUUUUAGGAAAUGCGGAGAGGUUUAACGAAAUUGAUUUGGCUACCUUUAUCACCAAAGUGCAAUUAUCUUUUUAGUCAAAGAACCUAACAGAACUUCUCAACUAAG
This 262-nucleotide long non-coding RNA is filed under the name Capsella rubella. RNAcentral's name for it is "long non-coding RNA (CRUB_LNC005068)". Lineage: Eukaryota; Viridiplantae; Streptophyta; Magnoliopsida; Brassicales; Brassicaceae. The record is from RNAcentral.